GGGGAUUUAGCUCAGUGGUAGAGUGCUUGCCUAGCAAGCACAAGGCCCUGGGUUCGGUCCCCAGCCCA
Rattus norvegicus (Norway rat) is the source of this 68-nucleotide non-coding RNA. The record is from Rfam. NCBI's taxonomy places the organism in Eukaryota, Metazoa, Chordata, Mammalia, Rodentia, Muridae.